CUCCCAUGACCUAAUCCAUGUGCGUCAUUACCACCCCAAAAUGGACUGCUCUCUGUGACUCCUCUCGAUCUUGAACAAUGAACCACAACCCAACCAUUUCUUCACUCCCUCUUUCUUCAUAAACAAUUGAUAUUCAAAGAAACACCCUAAUUUCUCUAUCUUUGUGCUCCAUAUAUUUCAACACUAGAUAAGAUUUCAACGCUUGAUACUAGUGCAAAUUCUCGUGGCCAUGUAAUCAUUUUUUUAACAUCUACAAGCAUUGUAAAAUAUUUCCAUUAACUUAUUUUUCUAGAGAAUGGAUUUGGUUCAUUUUGACAUGGGUUGCAUUGUAAAGAAGGCCGAUGAAUCGCAUCGUUUCUAGUUCGGAGAACAUUCCCUCCGUUUCUACGACGGCUACUUCCGAACAUGGAAAGACUAAGACAAUGAUAAGAAGUUGGGUUUGUACCCACUGUUUGAGCUCGCUCGUCUGUUGAUGUUAUUCGUUGAAAUUUUGGCUGAGCUUUGUUCAAGCUGGUCUCGACUUUUAAUCAUUUCUAUUCAAGUUUUCUUGUUCCUGCCAGUUUCAGAUCUAGGUGUGAUUUGGUUUAGCUGAUUUUCUUUGCAUAUAGGUACACACCAAAUCUCUGUAUUUACUUUUGAGUUAUAUACUUGGAAUUUGUUGUUUCAACUUGUUUUAGCAUGAACAUGUAUUAUUUAUUUUACUUGAGAUGUGGUGAAAUGAUGAAAUUACUUUUUAAAAGUGAGAGCCAUAAUGUUGAAACCGGCAGUUUUUUUGUUUUUUGUUUUUUGAUUUAGCUAUUUGAUAGCUGGAUUUGUAAUGUUACAUGGAAAAUUAAGGUAUUUUGAAUAAAAGAGUUCAUGUUGGUUUAGGAUAUAUGUGACUCUAGAAUCAGUUAUUACUUUAAAUUAAUUAUUGUUGUAGUUUUAGUUCAUGAAGGUUGUUGUGGUAGGAUAUAAA
Molecule: long non-coding RNA, 958 nt
Filed under: Nicotiana benthamiana
Lineage: Eukaryota; Viridiplantae; Streptophyta; Magnoliopsida; Solanales; Solanaceae
Description: long non-coding RNA (NBEN_LNC003045)
Source: RNAcentral